RNAcentral lists this unclassified non-coding RNA (208 nucleotides) under Hevea brasiliensis (rubber tree). Lineage: Eukaryota; Viridiplantae; Streptophyta; Magnoliopsida; Malpighiales; Euphorbiaceae. The record is from RNAcentral.
AGCAAGCAACUUCGCAGAAUACGGCCCCAACUCCAAGCUCAAGCGCCACCCAUGGAAGUCCAAGAAGCUAAAUUUGCAGAGCAAACGUGGAUCGAGUGAGAAUCAAGACUCGAUCCGCUCUGAAAAGUUCAGUGGAGAGUAAUUGAAAGAAUUAUAGGCUAAAAGAAAAUGAAUACGACGAAUCUAAGAUUGGGAAUUGAGGGUUUUU